This is a long non-coding RNA of Zingiber officinale, 149 nucleotides long. RefSeq lists it as uncharacterized. Lineage: Eukaryota; Viridiplantae; Streptophyta; Magnoliopsida; Zingiberales; Zingiberaceae. The transcript is spliced from 2 exons. The record is from RefSeq and is a predicted model, not a curated record.
AGGCAGGGAUCAGGUAGCGCGUGCCGUAGUCUGUAUGGUGGUUUUGUUAAAUGGGCGAUGGGUGAUGAUGCUAGCGGAAGUGAUAGCAUUGCAGUUCCCCUUGCCCCAGAAUCUCAUUGGAAUGAUCUUGUUAUUAUCAUUGCUGUGGU